This is a long non-coding RNA of Eriocheir sinensis (Chinese mitten crab), 635 nucleotides long. RefSeq lists it as uncharacterized. The record is from RefSeq and is a predicted model, not a curated record. NCBI's taxonomy places the organism in Eukaryota, Metazoa, Arthropoda, Malacostraca, Decapoda, Varunidae. The transcript has 4 exons.
CACCAUCCCAUCUGUUUGGUCUUCUUGGGCAUGCGUGUGAGGGGUGGAUCGAGGCAGGAGAGGUGAUAGUAAUGCCCGCAUGUGUCACACUCAAUCAACAAGUGCUGUUCCUUGGUCAACUGACACACCCGACAUCUAUUCAAGUGUGCAGCUUGCAGUGCGCAUAGUACGGGUCUGCUUGGUCUGCCUCUCCGUGGUUCACCUCAGACAGCAAACCUUCUCGCUGGGCACUGGAAGAAGCAAGAGGAUCUCAGUUAACCUACUGUCUAACACCACAAUGAGACCACCACAACUUCUUCAUACAACACUUGCAAAACACAAGAGCGAUCCUCACCAAGUGACAUGGAAGUAGCCUCUGCACAUGCCAGCAUCACAGCCAAUACAAACACCAGUGCGGGAGUAUCGCUCGUCCUCACACAGGGUGCAGGUCUUGGCUCCCCACUUGCUGUAUGGCAUCUCAAACAAGGUGGGGAAGGAGAGCUUGUCAACCUGAUGGCAAAGGCAAGACAUUACUCAUACAAAUGCAGUUACCUCGCUGAAUGCAACACCUGGAAUGUAUAAGGCACAAACCAAAUGGACCCAUCUUCCCAUUUCUGUUUCUUUAAAAAUUGUAUAGCCUGAAAAUAAAAUCCAAC